RNAcentral lists this unclassified non-coding RNA (413 nucleotides) under soil metagenome. RNAcentral describes it as "partial contains 5.8S ribosomal RNA, internal transcribed spacer 2, and large subunit ribosomal RNA". The stretch from base 1 to 120 matches the Rfam family "5.8S ribosomal RNA", at positions 35 to 154 of the family's 154-position model. The record is from RNAcentral.
GAUGAAGAACUCAGCGAAAUGCGAUAAGUAAUGUGAAUUGCAGAAUUCAGUGAAUCAUCAAAUCUUUGAACGCACCUUGCGCUCUUUGGUAUUCCGAAGAGCAUGCCUGUUUGAGUGUCAUGAAAAUAUCAACCUUGACUUGGGUUUUGUGCUCUAGUCUCGGCUUGGAAUUGGGUGCUUGCCGCUUUUACGAGCGGCUCACCUUAAAUGUAUUAGCUGGAUCUGUCUUUGAGACUUGGUUUGACUUGGCGUAAUAAGUAUUUCGCUAAGGACAUUCUUCGGAGUGGCCUCGUUUCUAGGACGCUUGUCCGCUUUCCAAUACAAGUUCCACCUCGUGGACAUGACUUUUUAUUAUCUGGCCUCAAAUCAGGUAGGACUACCCGCUGAACUUAAGCAUAUCAAUAAGCGGAGGA